Long non-coding RNA from Oncorhynchus kisutch (coho salmon), 736 nucleotides. RefSeq lists it as uncharacterized. Lineage: Eukaryota; Metazoa; Chordata; Actinopteri; Salmoniformes; Salmonidae. The transcript has 3 exons. The record is from RefSeq and is a predicted model, not a curated record.
UCUUCCUUGGUUCUGCUAGCUGUGUAUACAGGCCUGACUAGAAUAUCGGACUAUCGACAUCAUCCCUCUGAUGUCAUCACUGGCUACAUACAGGGAGCCUUGACUGCCUACUGGGUGGCCUUCCACGUCUCCUCCAUGUUUAAAGACUACAACUCUACCCUCUCUCCUAGCCUGGACAACCCCCCGUCUCCUAGCUCCUCCAUGUUUAAAGACUACAGCUCUACCCUCUCUCCUAGCCUGGACAACCCCCCGUCUCCACGUCUCCUCCAUGUUUAAAGACUACAGCUCUACCCUCUCUCCUAGCCUGGACAACCCCCCGUCUCCACAUCUCCUCCAUGUUUAAAGACUACAGCUCUACCCUCUCUCCUAGCCUGGACAACCCCCCGUCUCCACAUCUCCUCCAUGUUUAAAGACUACAGCUCUACCCUCUCUCCUAGCCUGGACAACCCCCUGUCUCCACAUCUCCUCCAUGUUUAAAGACUACAGCUCUACCCUCUCUCCUAGCCUGGACAACCCCCUGUCUCCACAUCUCCUCCAUGUUUAGACUACAGCCUGGACAACCCCCGCCACCACACCGUCAGUUAGGGGAUAGGUCUGUGUGUGUUUCUUUGUGUUAGUGAAGUGUUUCAGAACAAGUCCUGUGAAAUCACAUACCUCAGUAUUCUGUGAGAGAUAAGGAGAUAGAGAGAUUAAGAGACAGAAAGGGAGACGGGAGAAAAACAGAGGGAGAGAGAAA